Molecule: ribosomal RNA, 746 nt
Filed under: uncultured deep-sea bacterium
Lineage: Bacteria
Description: bacterial SSU rRNA
Rfam family: Bacterial small subunit ribosomal RNA
Source: RNAcentral
AGCGGGGCUUCGGCCCCGUGGAAACUGGCGCACGGGUGAGUAACGCGUGGGAAUCUACCCCGGGGUGGGGAAUAACCGCUGGAAACGGCGGCUAAUACCGCAUACGCCUUGCGAGGGAAAGCUUUAGCGCCCUGGGACGAGCCCGCGUCGGAUUAGCUUGUUGGUGAGGUAACGGCUCACCAAGGCUUCGAUCCGUAGCUGGUCUGAGAGGAUGAUCAGCCACACUGGGACUGAGACACGGCCCAGACUCCUACGGGAGGCAGCAGUGGGGAAUAUUGGACAAUGGGGGCAACCCUGAUCCAGCCAUGCCGCGUGCGUGAAGAAGGCCCUAGGGUUGUAAAGCGCUUUCGGCGGGGAAGAUGAUGACGGUACCCGCAGAAGAAGCUCCGGCUAACUCCGUGCCAGCAGCCGCGGUAAUACGGAGGGGGCAAGCGUUGUUCGGAAUUACUGGGCGUAAAGGGCGCGUAGGCGGGAAGUCAAGUUAGGGGUGAAAGGCCUGGGCUCAACCUAGGAACUGCCUCUAAAACUGGCUAUCUAGAGUCCGGGAGAGGAUGGCGGAGUUCCCAGUGUAGAGGUGAAAUUCGUAGAUAUUGGGAAGAACACCAGUGGCGAAGGCGGCCAUCUGGACCGGCACUGACGCUGAGGUGCGAAAGCGUGGGGAGCGAACAGGAUUAGAUACCCUGGUAGUCCACGCCGUAAACGAUGUGUGCUAGCCGUUGGAUCACGUUGGUGUUUCAGUGGCGCAG